UUUUAUCUCCGCCAAAUAUGAGAGGAGAUUGAGUGAUCAGAUCCUAUUUUCCUCACAGACUACCUUUGUUCGACUCUUUCCCCUCUCCUCUAUCCCACCCUAUAAGAACCAAGAUUCAAUUUUUGCCAUUCUACUCCAAAUCGAACCCCAAAUGGAAAACCUAGCAUGCCUUCUCCUCUUUUGAUUUUGAAUGAAAUCGGCCACCGAUUGACCUUGAAACCUACGUCAAUCGAUAGAUCUCUUUGAGGUCUAUGUAUUGAAGAAGGAUUCAUGUUAUUUCGCGGUGGCCAACGCUCGGUCAAACCUCGGUUGACUUGCUAAGAGUCGCUGAAAUUUCUCUUUCUUCUAUACAUCCGGCUCACAGUAGUUAUCAUGGUAUAUACAACUAGCUAAACUGUAAAGAUUCCAAGCAAGUGGUCAUGUAACGAUAACCACUGUUGGCUGAAAUUUUCUUUGCCAGUCAGUUUGAACAUCCACAUGUAAUGCUUAGGUCAUUUUCCUCUUUAAUUUUUCCUGCCCUUAUUUGUUCUCACAUGCCAAUAUUAGUCCUCCAAUUUUGUUUUAUUAGGGUUUCUGUGUCAUCCUGCGAUUGCAUGUUAUAACGAUUAUGAUAUUUAGUUGCUUAAAAUUAAUUGCAUGAUUCAAUUCGACAUUGUUAAUUAAAGUAGUUGAUUUCUCUUUGUUGUUAAAAAUAUGGUUAACUAUAAACAUUUUAUGCUUUGAUUUUUUUUAACUUGUUAAUAGGCAUGUUGCAGCUUGGGGUCUGUUUAAUUAGUCGAGCUUUGAAUUUUUGGUUCGAGUACUUGAGGUAUACGGGCCUGUCAGUUGGGCCACUAACAUGCCCCCAACUUGUAUUUUACUAGGCUUUGACCCUGUAGGUGGUCUAUAGGAUUUGACCCAAGCUCUUGAACCACUCUCCUAAAGAGAUAAGAUUGAGCUGAAAGAGGGUACAUACCAAGAACUGGAGGGGUAUUAGAGGAAUUUGAGCGGGGAGGAAUCUUAUAUACCAGGCAGCUACUAGGAAAGUGUGUGUGUCGGGGGGAGGGUUGUAAAGAUCCGACCGGUUGUUUUGAGCAUUUGCAUUCAAUUUGGUGGUUUGAGGGCAUGCGUAGCUUCAUAUGGUGUAUUAUGACUUGCAUGUAACGUCGGUUUUGGUUUCCGAGUGAUUUAGGAUUGAUUUGGAAGAAUGAUUCUUAUUUUGGAAGCUUUAAGUUGGAAGAGUUGAUCAAGUUUAACUUUGGUGUGUUUGACCUUGGAUUGAAGUUUUGAUGAUUUCAUUAGAUCCAUAUGGUGAUUUUGGACUUGGGCAUGUGCUCAGAUUUUUAUUUGGAGAUUUCUAGAAGGGUUUGGCCAUAAUUGGCGAAAGUUGGCAAUUUCAAGGUUUGGAAUAUUUAUAUGUUUGACCGGGAGCUGACUUUGAUGUUAUCGGCUCGAAUUAUUGUUAUGGGAGUUAAAAUAGAUUCUUUAUUUUAUUUGGAACUUGUGUGCAAAAUUUGAGGUCAGUCCGAGUUGAUUUGAUGAGGUUCGACACGAAUUUUAGAAGUUGAAAGUUCAAAAGUUCAUCAAAUUUUAUUUGAGGUGUGAUUCGUGAUUUUGAUGUUUUUAUGUGUAAUUUGAGGCCUCGCGUAGGUCCAUAUUAUAUUUUGUACUUGUUGGUAUGUUUAGACAGGGUCUCGAGGGGCUCGGGUGAGUUUCAGACGGGUUUCAGACCAUUUUGGGCCAUGUUAGUUCUGUUGGUUUUUGCUGCUUCAUUUUUUCUUCGAGUUUGCGUCCCUAUAUAUUCAUGUUCGUGCAAUGUUAGUGGUGGUAUUCUUUGCGUUCGCAUCCCUUUUUUCGUGUUCGCGUAGUGUUGAGCUGGGCUGGGCAGGUCAUGAUGGAUUCCUCUUCGCAUUCGCGCUGGUGUCUACGCGUUCCAUAUGGUCUGGCAGUUGUGUUUUUCGCAUUCGCGAGGGUUGCUCUACAAACACGUAGCAUUAUUUCGCAACAAUGUAUUUUGUGCAUUGCGAUCGCGAGGGUACAACUGCGAUGGCGUAGGGUACCACUGGGCAGAGCAUAUGAGUACUCUAUUUCGGACCUUGAGCUCAUUUUAUCACAUUUUGAGUUAUGGAGCUUGAAUUUGGGCAAUUUUGGAGAGGAUUUUAACCUCAUGGAUUCAGGUAAGUAUUUUUUACCUAGUUUUGAUUAUAUUCCAUGAUUCCAUCUUCGAUUUUGGCAUUUGAUUGAUGAAUUUAAAAGAGAAAUUNNNNNNNNNNNNNNNNNNNNNNNNNUUAUCAAAAUUUGUGAGUUUUUUCGGUUUUGGAAUACGAGACUAGAUUGACCUUUUGGUUGACUUUGAGUAUUUGAUUGAAAAUUCGACCCUUUUCAUUUGGGUUUGUUUUCUUUGGCAUUAAUUGAUGAUUUUGAGAUGCUUUUGGCUAAUUUCGAGCCGUUCGGAGGCUGAUUCACAUGAGAUGGCAUUUAUAGGGUAUUAUUUGGCUUGCUCGUAUUUGAUUUGUCUUGUUCGAGUUAAGUAAUAUAUCUAAACUUGGAUUUGAGGUAAUUAUCCCCGAAAACUAUGAUAUUUGAGAUGGGUUAGAGGUGACGCACGUGCUAGGUGACGAGCGUGUGUGCGUGCACUGAAAUAUAUUCAUAAUACAGGUAGUUUUAUGCUAUUAUGUGCCUUGUUUUGCUACCAUGCUUCUUUGAUAUCAUGUUUUCUCCAUUUAUAUGAUUAUGUGAGAUGGUAUUCAUGCUAGAAAUUAUGUCUAGGCCACCUGCUCAAUUAUUGAGACAUGAUAGGACUAUUUUUCCAUGUUGAGCUAAUUGCCUUAGCCGUAGUCAUAAUGUUUCAGUCAUAAUAGUUAUAUCCGCAUGUUAUAUCUCUACCUUUGUACAUUUGUUAUAUGUUAUCUCACUUGUUAUUGGUGUCUUAGUACGUGACACAGGUUGAUUUAUAAUUGAGGCAUAUUGGGGUAUUCCAUGUUAUAUGAUUGGAUUAUGUUUCUGUGAUAUAUUGAGAUAUGGAGACUUGAGCGGAUUGAUGACUGAUGUAGGCCGUAGAGCUGUGUUGUGAGUUAUGUUGGAUCGGGUUGCACACAACAACGAUUAUAUUGAUAUUGAGGCGA
RNAcentral lists this long non-coding RNA (3104 nucleotides) under Nicotiana tabacum (common tobacco). Its description in RNAcentral is "long non-coding RNA (NTAB_LNC005885)". The record is from RNAcentral. Lineage: Eukaryota; Viridiplantae; Streptophyta; Magnoliopsida; Solanales; Solanaceae.